GAUGAACGCUGGCGGCGUGCCUAAUACAUGCAAGUCGAGCGAACAGACGAGGAGCUUGCUCCUCUGACGUUAGCGGCGGACGGGUGAGUAACACGUGGAUAACCUACCUAUAAGACUGGGAUAACUUCGGGAAACCGGAGCUAAUACCGGAUAAUAUAUUGAACCGCAUGGUUCAAUAGUGAAAGACGGUUUUGCUGUCACUUAUAGAUGGAUCCGCGCCGCAUUAGCUAGUUGGUAAGGUAACGGCUUACCAAGGCAACGAUGCGUAGCCGACCUGAGAGGGGGAACGGCACCCCGGGAAUUGAACAACGUUCCAAGCCCCUACGGGGGGCACACGUAGGGAAUCUUCCGCAAGGGGCGAAAGCCUGACGGAGAAACGCCGCGUGAGUGAUGAAGGUUUUGGGUUCGAAAAACUCUUUUAUUGGGGAAAAAAAAAGGUGUAAGUAAAUUUGCCCGUCUUGACGGUACCUAAGAAAAAAGCCACGGCUAACUACGU
Molecule: ribosomal RNA, 496 nt
Filed under: uncultured bacterium
Lineage: Bacteria
Description: partial 16S ribosomal RNA
Rfam family: Bacterial small subunit ribosomal RNA
Source: RNAcentral